This 253-nucleotide ribosomal RNA is filed under the name uncultured bacterium. RNAcentral's name for it is "partial 16S ribosomal RNA". It matches the Rfam family "Bacterial small subunit ribosomal RNA", at positions 524 to 776 of the family's 1533-position model. The record is from RNAcentral.
GACGAACUGUCCUAACGUUGUUCGGAAUCACUGGGCUUAAAGGGCGCGUAGGUGGCUUCUUAAGCGUGCGGUGAAAGCCUGGGGCUCAACCCCGGGUCGGCCGUGCGAACUGGGGGGCUGGAGCACUGUAGAGGCAGGCGGAAUUCCGGGUGUAGCGGUGGAAUGCGUAGAGAUCCGGAAGAACACCGGUGGCGAAGGCGGCCUGCUGGGCAGUUGCUGACACUGAGGCGCGACAGCGUGGGGAGCAAACAGG